CAUAUCAAUAAGCGGAGGAAAAGAAACUAACAAGGAUUCCCUCAGUAACGGCGAGUGAAGAGGGAAGAGCUCAGUUUUGAAAUCUGGCAGUCAUUCCACUGUCCGAGUUGUAAAUUGAAGAGAAUGUCAUCCACACUGGACCAUGUCUAAAUUGUAAUAAUCCACAGUCCUUUGAUGGAGUAUCAGAGAGGGUAAUAAUCCCGUCUUUAACGUGGACCACCAGUGUUUAUGUGAUGCACUCUCUCAGAGUCGAGUAGUUUGGGAAUGCUGCUCUAAUGGGAGGUAAACUCCUUCUAAAGCUAAAUAUUGGCGAGAGACCGAUAGCGAACAAGUACCGUGAGGGAAAGAUGAAAAGAACUCUGAAAAGAGAGUCAAACAGAACGUGAAAUUGCUGAAAGGGAAGCGUUUGGAGUCAGAUGCAUCCUCAAUGUAAUACGGCUCAGUUGGCAGAGACUGAGAGCAGUGACUUGAAGAUGGGCCAGCACUCACGUAGAUCAUUGGAGAAGGGGUCAUGGAAUGUAGCUCAAUUCUUGAGUGUUUAUAGACUUGAUUCAUAUACAAUGUGUCUUAUGUGUGUUAAUUGACAGCACGAGUCUUGACUCAGUGCUUGACUGGCAAUAAUGGCUCUAAGCGACCCGUCUUGAAACACGGACCAAGGAGUCUAACAUGUAUGCGAGUAUUAGAGUGAUUGAAACUCUGAAUGCGUAAUGAAAGUGGUUCUUGACUGAGAAUCCUCAAUUAUGGGAGGCAUCAGUACCCUGAGUCUGUUAGUCUUUGACUAAAGAUUUGGAGGUAGAGCAUAUAUGUUGGGACCCGAAAGAUGGUGAACUAUGCCUGAAUAGGGUGAAGUCAGAGGAAACUCUGAUGGAGGCUCGUAGCGAUUCUGACGUGCAAAUCGAUCGUAGAAUUUGGGUAUAGGGGCGAAAGACU
Molecule: ribosomal RNA, 930 nt
Filed under: Craterellus lutescens
Lineage: Eukaryota; Fungi; Basidiomycota; Agaricomycetes; Cantharellales; Hydnaceae
Description: Cantharellus lutescens partial large subunit ribosomal RNA
Rfam family: Eukaryotic large subunit ribosomal RNA
Source: RNAcentral